GGGCCCGUAGUUCAUGAAGUAGAACUCUGCCUUUGGUAAGCGGGAAAGCGGGUGCAAGCCCCGCCGGGUCCA
This 72-nucleotide transfer RNA is filed under the name Parcubacteria group bacterium. RNAcentral's name for it is "tRNA-Thr". It matches the Rfam family "tRNA". From Rfam's summary of the family: Transfer RNA (tRNA) molecules are approximately 80 nucleotides in length. The record is from RNAcentral.